This 409-nucleotide ribosomal RNA is filed under the name uncultured eukaryote. Its description in RNAcentral is "bacterial SSU rRNA". It matches the Rfam family "Eukaryotic small subunit ribosomal RNA", at positions 27 to 423 of the family's 1831-position model. The record is from RNAcentral.
UAUGCUUGUCUAAAAGAUUAAGCCAUGCAAGUGUAAGUAUAAAUAGACAAAUUAUUGUACUAUGAGACUGCGAAUGGCUCAUUAAAUCAGCAAUCAUUUAUUCGGUGGAUGAAGUAAUUCUAAAAUGGAUAACCGUGGGAAAUCUAGAGCUAAUACAUGCAAAAGAGAAUUCUUUGAAAAAGGAAUGCAUAUAUUAGAUACAAAUCCAAAAAUACAAAGGUGAAUCAUAAUAUUUAUAGCAAAUCAUAUAAGAAGGAGUGAUCUUUUCUUUGAUGAUAAACCGAUCAAAUUUCUGCCCUAUCAUACUUUGGACGGUAAUGUAGUGGAUUACGGUGGUGAUGACGGGUAACGGAGAAUUAGGUUUGAUUCCGGAGAGGGAGCAUGAGAAAUGGCUACCACUUCCAAGGAA